AGUAACGCGUGGGUAACCGUGCCUUAUACAGGGGGAGUAACAGUCAGAAAUAGGCUGCUAAUACCGCAUAAGCGCACAGAGCUGCAUGGCUCAGUGUGAAAAACUCCGGUGGUAUGAGAUGGACCCGCGUUGGAUUAGCUUGUUGGUGGGGUAACGGCCCACCAAGGCGACGAUCCAUAGCCGGCCUGAGAGGGUGAACGGCCACAUUGGGACUGAGACACGGCCCAGACUCCUACGGGAGGCAGCAUG
Molecule: ribosomal RNA, 249 nt
Filed under: uncultured bacterium
Lineage: Bacteria
Description: partial 16S ribosomal RNA
Rfam family: Bacterial small subunit ribosomal RNA
Source: RNAcentral